Molecule: ribosomal RNA, 253 nt
Filed under: uncultured bacterium
Lineage: Bacteria
Description: partial 16S ribosomal RNA
Rfam family: Bacterial small subunit ribosomal RNA
Source: RNAcentral
UACAGAGGGUGCAAGCGUUGUUCGGAAUUAUUGGGCGUAAAGCGCGUGUAGGCGGCUUUGCAAGUCGGGUGUGAAAGCCCUCGGCUCAACCGAGGAAGUGCGCCCGAAACUGCAGAGCUUGAGUACCGGAGAGGAUGGCGGAAUUCCCCAAGUAGAGGUGAAAUGCGUAGAUAUCUGGAGGAACACCGGUGGCGAAGGCGGCAUCCUGGACCAUUACUGACACUGAAAAGCGAAAGCCAGGGGAGCAAACGGG